UGAAAUAUACUUUAAUGAAGAAGAUAUAAUUUGCAAUUAUAUAGUGAUAGUAUUAUCUAUUUCUA
This 65-nucleotide transfer RNA is filed under the name Arion ater ater. Its description in RNAcentral is "tRNA-Ala". The record is from RNAcentral. Lineage: Eukaryota; Metazoa; Mollusca; Gastropoda; Stylommatophora; Arionidae.